GGAGAGGUGCUCGAGUGGCUAAUGAGGGCAGACUGUAAAUCUGCUGGCUAACGCCUACGGUGGUUCGAAUCCACUCCUCUCCA
Molecule: transfer RNA, 83 nt
Filed under: Candidatus Rifleibacteriota bacterium
Lineage: Bacteria; Candidatus Rifleibacteriota
Description: tRNA-Tyr
Rfam family: tRNA
About the family: Transfer RNA (tRNA) molecules are approximately 80 nucleotides in length.
Source: RNAcentral